Molecule: ribosomal RNA, 253 nt
Filed under: uncultured bacterium
Lineage: Bacteria
Description: partial 16S ribosomal RNA
Rfam family: Bacterial small subunit ribosomal RNA
Source: RNAcentral
UACGUAGGGGGCAAGCGUUGUCCGGAUUUAUUGGGCGUAAAGAGCGUGUAGGCGGCCAGGUAGGUCCGUUGUGAAAACUCGAGGCUCAACCUCGAGACGUCGAUGGAAACCAUCUGGCUAGAGUCCGGAAGAGGAGAGUGGAAUUCCUGGUGUAGCGGUGAAAUGCGCAGAUAUCAGGAAGAACACCCGUGGCGAAGGCGGCUCUCUGGGACGGUACUGACGCUGAGACGCGAAAGCGUGGGGAGCAAACAGG